CCUGCCUCUAGAGGCAUUGCAGAUGUGGCUUCUGUAUCACAUGUGCUUCAGUAGGUGACAGAGAGGCCGUGUCUACACUCAAUGUUCUGACCUAUGAACAUCUGAAUGAUUAGUAGCCUAACAUU
Molecule: small nucleolar RNA, 125 nt
Organism: Acomys russatus (golden spiny mouse)
Lineage: Eukaryota; Metazoa; Chordata; Mammalia; Rodentia; Muridae
Product: small nucleolar RNA SNORA17
Exons: 1
Source: RefSeq, a predicted model, not a curated record